AUGAUGGAUCUGUCAUUGUUUCCUAUUCUGAAGCAAGUAUUCUAUUUAAGCUUUAUGUUAAACUUCAAAUUUUUUUUUGUUACAGAAUACCCAUUUUGCCUUCAAAUGCAUCUGCAUCUCCAAAUGGCCGGCAUCUUUGUGUUUGACUCCUGAUUUGCCCUGAUGUUUUGUCACUGUGCUUCUCCAGCAUCUGGCUUUCAGGAGAGAAAAGCAGCAGAACAGAACCGAACCUGAGGCCCCUUCACAAGUGAUGAAACAGGUGAUGGUACAUCGUGGCUGAUCAGAACCUUUUUGUUCAUGUUCUUCGAAAGGAAAAAAAUCCACUGCUAUAAAGUUUC
Molecule: long non-coding RNA, 338 nt
Filed under: Manacus vitellinus (golden-collared manakin)
Lineage: Eukaryota; Metazoa; Chordata; Aves; Passeriformes; Pipridae
Description: lncRNA (ENSMVIG00005006040.1)
Source: RNAcentral